RNAcentral lists this ribosomal RNA (622 nucleotides) under Opsariichthys uncirostris uncirostris. RNAcentral describes it as "partial 16S ribosomal RNA". It matches the Rfam family "Bacterial large subunit ribosomal RNA", at positions 1797 to 2619 of the family's 2925-position model. The record is from RNAcentral. Lineage: Eukaryota; Metazoa; Chordata; Actinopteri; Cypriniformes; Xenocyprididae.
CGCCUCUUUAUCAAAAACAUCGCCUCCUGCAACACUAAUUGAGUAUAGGAGGUCCAGCCUGCCCAGUGACUACGGGUUCAACGGCCGCGGUAUUUUGACCGUGCAAAGGUAGCGCAAUCACUUGUCUUUUAAAUAGAGACCUGUAUGAAUGGCUAAACGAGGGCUUAGCUGUCUCCCCCUUCCAGUCAGUGAAAUUGAUCUAUCCGUGCAGAAGCGGGUAUAAUACUACAAGACGAGAAGACCCUUUGGAGCUUAAGGUACAAAAUCCACCCACGUCAAACAACUCCGCAAAAAGCAAGAACUUAGUGGACAAUGGACACUUACCUUCGGUUGGGGCGACCACGGAGGAAAACCUAGCCUCCGAGUGGACUGGGCUACAUUCCUAGAACCAAGAGAGACAUCUCUAAGCCACAGAAUAUCUGACCAAUUAAUGAUCCGGACUUCUAGACCGAUCAACGAACCAAGUUACCCUAGGGAUAACAGCGCAAUCCUCUCCCAGAGUCCAUAUCGACGAGGGGGUUUACGACCUCGAUGUUGGAUCAGGACAUCCUAAUGGUGCAGCCGCUAUUAAGGGUUCGUUUGUUCAACGAUUAAAGUCCUACGUGAUCUGAGUUCAGACCGG